UUUGCUUACUGACAGUAGCAAAACUGUAAUUAAAUCAAGCUUUACGGUCAUUUCGUGAUGAAAAAGAGAAACUAUCGGGGGAAACGAUUCUGUCGAACGCGUUUGUCAGAUUGACGAGGUUCUCCCGAAGGUAGUUGAUGCCAUAUUGAUGUUGAGUUGGCACCGGAUGCCAACUGGGUUGUUUAUUGGUUGUAGCAAAACUGGAUUUAAGUCAGUAAGUAAAUUCGGCAAGAUAAAUAAACGAUAAUU
This is a long non-coding RNA of Hippocampus comes (tiger tail seahorse), 249 nucleotides long. RefSeq lists it as uncharacterized. The transcript has 2 exons. NCBI's taxonomy places the organism in Eukaryota, Metazoa, Chordata, Actinopteri, Syngnathiformes, Syngnathidae. The record is from RefSeq and is a predicted model, not a curated record.